CCUACGGGCGGCAGCAGUGAGGAAUAUUGGUCAAUGGGCGAGAGCCUGAACCAGCCAAGUCGCGUGAAGGAUGACUGCCCUACGGGUUGUAAACUUCUUUUAUAAAGGAAUAAAGUGAGGAACGUGUUCCUUUUUGUAUGUACUUUAUGAAUAAGGAUCGGCUAACUCCGUGCCAGCAGCCGCGGUAAUACGGAGGAUCCGAGUGUUAUCCGGAUUUAUUGGGUUUAAAGGGAGCGUAGAUGGGUUGUUAAGUCAGUUGUGAAAGUUUGCGGCUCAACCGUAAAAUUGCAGUUGAUACUGGUAGACUUGAGUACAGUUGAGGUAGGCGGAAUUCGUGGUGUAGCGGUGAAAUGCUUAGAUAUCACGAAGAACUCCGAUUGCGAAGGCAGCUUACUAAACUGCCACUGACACUGAGGCUCGAAAGUGUGGGUAUCAAACAGGAUUAGAUACCCUAGUAGUC
Molecule: ribosomal RNA, 460 nt
Filed under: uncultured bacterium
Lineage: Bacteria
Description: partial 16S ribosomal RNA
Rfam family: Bacterial small subunit ribosomal RNA
Source: RNAcentral